AAAUUGAUUAGAAAUACUUGUCAUAUAAGUUUCUGCUGUUCAUACAUCAUCAAAAAAUAUCAAGAAAAACUGGAAAUAUAUGAAAAUGGAACCCAAGUAUAAAAUUAGGUUUUUUGCAUUGAAUAAAAGAAGAAGGAACUCUGAUCUUCAUGUUCUUCUAUAGAAGUCCUAAUACAAAACCAUUAAACUA
This is a non-coding RNA of Onthophagus taurus, 190 nucleotides long. NCBI's taxonomy places the organism in Eukaryota, Metazoa, Arthropoda, Insecta, Coleoptera, Scarabaeidae. The record is from RefSeq and is a predicted model, not a curated record.